This is a long non-coding RNA of Oreochromis niloticus (Nile tilapia), 1928 nucleotides long. RefSeq lists it as uncharacterized. NCBI's taxonomy places the organism in Eukaryota, Metazoa, Chordata, Actinopteri, Cichliformes, Cichlidae. The transcript has 3 exons. The record is from RefSeq and is a predicted model, not a curated record.
GUGUAGCAGAAAUGAUGACGGAUGAUGAUGGCAGCAGCAGCCGUUCUCCUCUGCGCCCAGGAGCGGUCGUGAGGGAUCAGAUGUUGACUCUUUGACACUCGUUGCAACCUGAUGUCGCAGCUACCUGUGGAGUGUGCUCUUAGGUUAACACCUGUGUGUUGGAGCGGGCUCAGGUGUCCGUUUCAUUAAUGAUGGAUGAUUGUUUCUUCCUGACAUCACCUGGAUUUCUAACAAAAAAAAAGAAAGUAUUUGUGCCUCAUUCUCGUCUGCUCUGCUGAAGAUCUCUCACACACAUGUACGUAUAUGUACACAAGAUGCCUGGAUGUUUAGAGGUUUCAUCUGCAUAAGCCAAGAGGAUGCAUACAUGUCUUUAAAGUCAAGAUUACAGGAAAGGUAACUAUUCCCUGUGUGGCACUGAUUCCUACCAUCCAUCCAUAUUCAUCCAUUAGCCCUUAGUGAACAAUUUUAUUUCCUAAAAUAAUUUCCAGUGUUAAAUAUAGAAUUUCCAUUUGUUAAUCCAUACUGUAGCAUGCUGCUGUCUUUCACCUAUUUAUUAUGUUCAUAUACUCACAUUAUAAUGCAGGUAAGGGCGUUAUUUCCUGUAAUGAAAUGGAACUUCAAUUAUUUUAUUUUAAAUUAAAAUGUAAUUAUAUUGAGUUACAAAUACUUACAGGUAGGUAGAAUAAGAAUAGAAUGAACAAGUAAUAAUUUGGUUUUCGCAAGAACAAAAAAUAAAUAUACUGUCAAGAAAUUUAAAUAAUGUGUAAGUAAUUUUAGGUAGUGCGUGAGCAAUUUAAAGUAUUGCAUAACUUCUGGUAUUUUAUAGGAACGGAGACACUCUUUUCCUGAAAUUCCAUUAAAGUACAAGUGAAUUAAGGUCUUAGCUGUGGGCUGUAUUAUAAAGUGUUACCCAAUUUUUAACCCUUAGCCUGAGAUUACAAAUUAAAUUACAGAAUUACAAAACACCUGGUCAUCAAAAAGACCUCCGAAAUCUCAGUGUGUUUAGUUAAAACGCAGAAAUGAUUGUGCGUAUGUUUUACCAGAUGCAAAAUAAUGUAGUGUCAGCCAGAGCCGCUGCUCUCUCCUUAUCUUUCAUCCCUGAUUUCUCUGUUUUUACUGCAGCUGGUGUUUUUCACUGUGCUGUUGAAAGAAGGUUUGCCAAUUCUCCCACCACAGACUGUGGAGGAGAUACCAGGAAAUGGGCUGCCGCAAAACGUGAGCAGGAUAGGACCACUAGAAGGGCAUCAGCCCCUGCAGCAGGACUGCUCCUUUGAGUGAGGAGCAGGAGGAGUGCUGCCAGAGCCGGACAAAGUGACCUCCAGCAGGAGACUUUUGUGCAUGUUUCUGUCCAAACUGUUAGCAGAGUAUUAGGGUGGCAUAACGCCCCGACAUCGUUUAGUGAGACCUGUGCUCACAGACCAGCAUCAUGCGUGUGACUUGCAUUAUCCAGAGAACAAGAGAGCCGGCAGAUCCACCAAUGAGCUCCAUUCUCUCUACGUGUGACACAUGAGGAAGAGAACUUUACGCUGCCUGCAGCCUCCAUCAGCAUGACUGGACGGCUGACUGGCAGAACAUCCGGAACGGUAUACAUCAGUGCAUCCGAUGCUGCCAAAUAGCCCAAUAGACCUUAAAAUCAUUGAUCUAGGUCUGGGAGGAGAUCCAUAGGACACCAUCUACCGUCUCAUCCAAAGCAUGCCCAGUUGUCAGGAGGGCCAAAAACACGAUUGAUCCACAUGUAACACCUGGAUCAGGGUUUUUUUUGAGUAGUUAUUGUUUAUCUUCAAAAUAAAAUCAAAAUGUGGAGAUUAAAGUUUCAGUUUCAAGUCUUUCACGGCUGUUAAACUGUCUACGUUCCAGUGCGAUUGAAGAGGCGCUAUAUCUGGUCAGAAGUUAAAACCACACAAACUUGGCGAGACUUGUUCAAAAUG